GAAUCAUAAUGUCCAAGUUCCAGGAGAACCAGAUGUUGAGAUAGAAAACACAGAGCAUAGUGAAAAUAUCACUGACCAACAUGCUGAACAAACACCUGAAAUAACUCCUGAAACACCUCAAGUGAGAAAAUCUGAGAGAUUAAAGCGACCCCCAGGACGGUUUCAUUACCCCCAGUUGGGUCAACCCCUUAUAUCCUUUGCACAACGAUUUCUGGAUAACUUUAACCAAGCUCUUGAGUCGUUUAGUAGCUAUGAAAACACUCAAAUCUAUGAUGUUUAGAUACAUUUUAAGUACAUGAAGGGACUCAUGUUUAUUCAAAGGGGGAGGGUGUAACCCCUAUAGACAUGGUUACUAGUAUUUUCUUGUUUUUACCUGGUAAUAUUAUUUCCGACACCCCUUGAACACACUUUGAUUUUCUGUAGUUCAGUGAAUGCAACAAAAGCACGUUGCUGCAUUAAGCUAGGCAAAACGGAGCAAGACACCGAGAGCAAAUAACAAGCUACACAAGGCCUUUAUGUGUUUUACUCUCGACCAAAACCAGGCAGAGCGUGUAUUUGUUUCUUGGGAAUUCCGACUGGUUUUUUGUGAUCCUGGAUCUGAAGUGGUUCUGGAUAUGGAUGGCGAGCCAGACCCUGUGAAAACUCUUGGCGAAUCCAAAAGCAGUGUGGCCAGCUGUUCUGGAUGCAGGAGUAGAGCUACAGUCUGAAUUACUUCGAAUCGCAGGAUUUCAGAUAAGCAAGAAC
Molecule: non-coding RNA, 744 nt
Organism: Maylandia zebra (zebra mbuna)
Lineage: Eukaryota; Metazoa; Chordata; Actinopteri; Cichliformes; Cichlidae
Source: RefSeq, a predicted model, not a curated record